CCUACGGGAGGCAGCAGUGAGGAAUAUUGGUCAAUGGACGAGAGUCUGAACCAGCCAAGUAGCGUGAAGGAUGACUGCCCUAUGGGUUGUAAACUUCUUUUAUAUGGGGAUAAAACGUUCCACGUGUGGGAUUUUGUAUGUACCAUAUGAAUAAGGAUCGGCUAACUCCGUGCCAGCAGCCGCGGUAAUACGGAGGAUCCGAGCGUUAUCCGGAUUGAUUGGGUUUAAAGGGAGCGUAGGGGGGUUGUUAAGUCAGUUGUGAAAGUUUGCGGCUCAACCGUAAAAUUGCAGUGGAAACUGGCAGUCUUGAGUACAGUAGAGGUGGGCGGAAUGCGUGGUGUAGCGGUGAAAUGCUUAGAUAUCACGAAGAACUCCGAUUGCGAAGGCAGUUCACUGGACUGCAACUGACACUGAGGCUCGAAAGUGUGGGUAUCAAACAGGAUUAGAUACCCGGGUAGUC
Molecule: ribosomal RNA, 460 nt
Filed under: uncultured bacterium
Lineage: Bacteria
Description: partial 16S ribosomal RNA
Rfam family: Bacterial small subunit ribosomal RNA
Source: RNAcentral